This 282-nucleotide ribosomal RNA is filed under the name Staphylococcus aureus. RNAcentral describes it as "partial 16S ribosomal RNA". It matches the Rfam family "Bacterial small subunit ribosomal RNA", at positions 1 to 271 of the family's 1533-position model. Lineage: Bacteria; Bacillati; Bacillota; Bacilli; Caryophanales; Staphylococcaceae. The record is from RNAcentral.
UUUUAUGGAGAGUUUGAUCCUGGCUCAGGAUGAACGCUGGCGGCGUGCCUAAUACAUGCAAGUCGAGCGAACGGACGAGAAGCUUGCUUCUCUGAUGUUAGCGGCGGACGGGUGAGUAACACGUGGAUAACCUACCUAUAAGACUGGGAUAACUUCGGGAAACCGGAGCUAAUACCGGAUAAUAUUUUGAACCGCAUGGUUCAAAAGUGAAAGACGGUCUUGCUGUCACUUAUAGAUGGAUCCGCGCUGCAUUAGCUAGUUGGUAAGGUAACGGCUUACCAA